Molecule: ribosomal RNA, 446 nt
Filed under: uncultured bacterium
Lineage: Bacteria
Description: bacterial SSU rRNA
Rfam family: Bacterial small subunit ribosomal RNA
Source: RNAcentral
UCGGGAAUUUUGGGCAAUGGGGGAAACCCUGGCCCAGCAACGCCGCGUGAAGGAUGAAGUAUUUCGGUAUGUAAACUUCGAAAGAAUAGGAAGAAUAAAUGACGGUACUAUUUAUAAGGUCCGGCUAACUACGUGCCAGCAGCCGCGGUAAUACGUAGGGACCAAGCGUUGUUCGGAUUUACUGGGCGUAAAGGGCGCGUAGGCGGCAUGACAAGUCACUUGUGAAAUCUCUGGGCUUAACCCAGAACGGCCAAGUGAUACUGUCGCGCUAGAGUGCAGAAGGGGCAAUCGGAAUUCUUGGUGUAGCGGUGAAAUGCGUAGAUAUCAAGAGGAACACCUGAGGUGAAGACGGGUUGCUGGGCUGACACUGACGCUGAGGCGCGAAAGCCAGGGGAGCAAACGGGAUUAGAUACCCACGUAGUCCUGAGCGGGCUGGCAAGGCGCAU